This 442-nucleotide ribosomal RNA is filed under the name uncultured bacterium. RNAcentral's name for it is "bacterial SSU rRNA". It matches the Rfam family "Bacterial small subunit ribosomal RNA", at positions 339 to 796 of the family's 1533-position model. The record is from RNAcentral.
CUACGGGAGGCAGCAGUGAGGAAUAUUGGGCAAUGGGGGAAACCCUGACCCAGCAACGCCGCGUGCGGGAUGACGGCCUUCGUGGUUGUAAACCGCUUUCAGCAGGGACGAAAAUGACGGUACCUGCAGAAGAAGUCCCGGCUAACUACGUGCCAGCAGCCGCGGUAAUACGUAGGGGACAAGCGUUGUCCGGAUUCAUUGGGCGCAAAGAGCUCGUAGGCGGUCCAGUAAGUUGGGUGUGAAAGCUCCGGGCUCAACCCGGAGAGGUCACCCAAAACUGCUGUGACUAGAGUCCAGUAGAGGAGCGUGGAAUUCCUGGUGUAGCGGUGAAAUGCGCAGAUAUCAGGAGGAACACCUGCAGCGAAGGCGGCGCUCUGGGCUGGAACUGACGCUGAGGAGCGAAAGCAUGGGUAGCAAACAGGAUUAGAUACCCUGGUAGUCC